This 254-nucleotide ribosomal RNA is filed under the name uncultured bacterium. RNAcentral describes it as "partial 16S ribosomal RNA". It matches the Rfam family "Bacterial small subunit ribosomal RNA", at positions 524 to 776 of the family's 1533-position model. The record is from RNAcentral.
CACGUAGGCACCAAGCGUUGUCCGGAUUUAUUGGGCGUAAAGAGCUCGUAGGCGGUUCAGUAAGUCGGGUGUGAAAACUUUGGGCUUAACCCAAAGCGUGCAUCCGAUACUGCUGUGACUUGAGUACGGUAGGGGAGCGGGGAAUUCCAGGUGUAGCGGUGAAAUGCGUAGAUAUCUGGAGGAACACCGGUGGCGAAGGCGGCAUCCUGGACCGACACUGACGCUGAGGAGCGAAAGCCAGGGGAGCAAACGGG